UACGUAGGGGGCAAGCGUUGUCCGGAAUCAUUGGGCGUAAAGCGCGCGUAGGCGGCCCUGUAAGUCCGUUGUGAAAGUCAAAGGCUCAACCUUUGAAAGCCGAUGGAUACUGCAGGGCUAGAGUCCGGAAGAGGCGAGUGGAAUUCCUGGUGUAGCGGUGGAAUGCGCAGAUAUCAGGAGGAACACCAAUAGCGAAGGCAGCUCGCUGGGACGGUACUGACGCUAAGGCGCGAAAGCGUGGGGAGCGAACAGG
This 253-nucleotide ribosomal RNA is filed under the name uncultured bacterium. RNAcentral's name for it is "partial 16S ribosomal RNA". It matches the Rfam family "Bacterial small subunit ribosomal RNA", at positions 524 to 776 of the family's 1533-position model. The record is from RNAcentral.